UGUUUAUAUAUGAUUUUUGCCAUACUAUAUAGAUAUAGGAAGAUGUGGUGUGAGUGCCAAUGAGACAACUCUCCAUACAAAUAACAAUUUAAAAAGUAAACCAUUAUAGGUUAAAGUACGGCCUUCAACACGGAGCCUUGGCUCACACCGAACAACAAGCUAUAAAGGGCCCCAAAAUUACUAGUGUAAAACCAUUCAAACGGGAAAACCAACGGUCUAAUCUAUAUAAAAAAACGAGAAACGAGAAACACGUAUAUAUUACAUAAACAAACGACAACUACUGUACAUCAGAUUCCUGACUUAGGACAGGUGCAAAUAUU
RNAcentral lists this long non-coding RNA (320 nucleotides) under Mytilus galloprovincialis (Mediterranean mussel). Lineage: Eukaryota; Metazoa; Mollusca; Bivalvia; Mytilida; Mytilidae. The record is from RNAcentral.